This 586-nucleotide ribosomal RNA is filed under the name uncultured bacterium. RNAcentral's name for it is "partial 16S ribosomal RNA". It matches the Rfam family "Bacterial small subunit ribosomal RNA", at positions 355 to 1375 of the family's 1533-position model. The record is from RNAcentral.
UGGGGAAUUUUGGACAAUGGGCGAAAGCCUGAUCCAGCAAUGCCGCGUGUGUGAAGAAGGCCUUCGGGUUGUAAAGCACUUUUGUCCGGAAAGAAAUCCUUGGCUCUAAUACAGUCGGGGGAUGACGGUACCGGAAGAAUAAGCACCGGCUAACUACGUGCCAGCAGCCGCGGUAAUACGUAGGGUGCAAGCGUUAAUCGGAAUUACUGGGCGUAAAGCGUGCGCAGGCGGUUUGCUAAGACCGAUGUGAAAUCCCCGGGCUCAACCUGGGAACUGCAUUGGUGACUGGCAGGCUAGAGUAUGGCAGAGGGGGGUAGAAUUCCACGUGUAGCAGUGAAAUGCGUAGAGAUGUGGAGGAAUACCGAUGGCGAAGGCAGCCCCCUGGCAAGUACUGACGCUCAUGCACGAAAAGCAUGGGGAGCAAAACAGGAUUAGAUACCCUGGUAGUCCACGCCCUAAACGAUGUCAACUAGUUGUUGGGGAUUCAUUUCCUUAGUAACGUAGCUAACGCGUGAAGUUGACCGCCUGGGGAGUACGGUCGCAAGAUUAAAACUCAAAGGAAUUGACGGGGUCAUAGCUGUUUCCU